RNAcentral lists this long non-coding RNA (1000 nucleotides) under Macaca mulatta (Rhesus monkey). RNAcentral's name for it is "lncRNA (ENSMMUG00000052479.1)". The record is from RNAcentral. Lineage: Eukaryota; Metazoa; Chordata; Mammalia; Primates; Cercopithecidae.
UAUCUAGCUAACUAGCACUCUGUUACUCUGUGUCUAGCUCAAGGAUUGUAAACGCACCAAUCAGCACUCUGUCAAAACGGACCAAUCAGCUCUCUGUAAAAUAGACCAAUCAGCUCUCUGUAAAAUGGACCAAUCCGCAGGAUGUGGGUGGGGGCCAGAUAAGGGAAUAAAAGCUGGCAGCCCGAGCUAGUCAGCGGCAAUCAGUUACAAUCUCGGUCUGUACGGUGGUAGGUGUUGUUCUUUAGCUUUUUGCUGCUGCUCACUGUUUUGGGUCCAUGCUGCAUUUAUGAGCUGUCACACUUCCCACGAAGGUCUGCAGCCUCACUGCUGAAGCAAGUAAGCCCACGAAGCCACUGGGAAAAAUGAACAAGUCCAGAUGUGCUGCCUUUAAGAGCUGUAAUACCAGGAAGGUCUGCAGGUUCACUCCUGACAGUGAGACCACGAACCCACCAGAAGGAAGAAGUUCCAAACACAGCUGAACGUCUGAAGGAACAAAGUCCGGACACACCAUCUUUAAGAACUGUAACACCGUGAGGGUUGGUGGCUUCAUUCUUGAAGUCAGUGAGACCAACAACCCAGCAAUUCCGGACGCACUAUGGCUCUGCAACUGAGAAUGCUUAUGCAAAUAAGACUCAGGAAGCACGUGAGCCUACAGCUGAACUUCACUGUAGAAAGUUGUAAGAAAGGCCAAGAACUGAAGCAGAAGAGCAAGCAAGAAAGAAAAUUCUCUGCAGGCUCUGUCUUGUACUGGAGUUGCUACCUUUAGCCCACUGGAUCACUGUGCUUGAAAUUCCCACAUUAUUCAUUCUGCAAAGUUAAGACAUAAAGUAAGAUCCUGACAAAAGAGCCUUUCCUUUGACCAGGUAAUUCCAGUUUCUGAAGUUCACAUUUUAAAAAUAACCUAAGAGAAAUAAAAAGCUAGAAGCACAGUGGUGCUCACUGAGAUAUUACCUCUAAUAACAGAGAGAGGAAAAUAAUAAAAAAUAGCCAAUAUGAGGAG